CCUACGGGCGGCAGCAGUGAGGAAUAUUGGUCAAUGGACGAGAGUCUGAACCAGCCAAGUAGCGUGAAGGAUGACUGCCCUAUGGGUUGUAAACUUCUUUUAUAUGGGAAUAAAAUGUUCCACGUGUGGGUUUUUGUAUGUACCAUAUGAAUAAGGAUCGGCUAACUCCGUGCCAGCAGCCGCGGUAAUACGGAGGAUCCGAGCGUUAUCCGGAUUUAUUGGGUUUAAAGGGAGCGUAGGUGGAUUGUUAAGUCAGUUGUGAAAGUUUGCGGCUCAACCGUAAAAUUGCAGUUGAAACUGGCAGUCUUGAGUACAGUAGAGGUAAGCGGAAUUCGUGGUGUAGCGGUGAAAUGCUUAGAUAUCACGAAGAACUCCGAUUGCGAAGGCAGCUCACUGGACUGCAACUGACACUGAGGCUCGAAAGUGUGGGUAUCAAACAGGAUUAGAUACCCCAGUAGUC
RNAcentral lists this ribosomal RNA (460 nucleotides) under uncultured bacterium. Its description in RNAcentral is "partial 16S ribosomal RNA". It matches the Rfam family "Bacterial small subunit ribosomal RNA", at positions 338 to 795 of the family's 1533-position model. The record is from RNAcentral.